CCUACGGGAGGCAGCAGUGAGGAAUAUUGGUCAAUGGGCGCGAGCCUGAACCAGCCAAGUAGCGUGAAGGAUGACUGCCCUACGGGUUGUAACCUUCUUUUAUAAAGGAAUAAAGUGAGGCACUUGUGCCUUUUUGUAUGUCCUUUAUGAAUAAGGAUCGGCAAACUCCGUGCCAGCAGCCGCGGUAAUACGGGGGAUCCGGGCGUUAUCCGGAUUUAUUGGGUUAAAGGGGAGCGUAGAUGGGUUGUUAAGUCAGUUGUGAAAGUUUGCGGCUUAACCAUAAAAUUGCAAUUGAUACUGCAGUCUUGAGUACAGUUGAGGUAGGCGGAAUUCGUGGUGUAGCGGUGAAAUGCGUAGAUAUCACGAAGAACUCCGAUUGCGAAGGCAGCUUACUAAACUGCCACUGACAUUGAUGCUCGAAAGUGUGGGUAUCAAACAGGAUUAGAUACCCCGGUAGUC
Molecule: ribosomal RNA, 459 nt
Filed under: uncultured bacterium
Lineage: Bacteria
Description: partial 16S ribosomal RNA
Rfam family: Bacterial small subunit ribosomal RNA
Source: RNAcentral